AGUGAACGCUGGCGGUAGGCCUAACACAUGCAAGUCGAACGGCAGCACAGUAAGAGCUUGCUCUUACGGGUGGCGAGUGGCGGACGGGUGAGGAAUACAUCGGAAUCUACUUUUUCGUGGGGGAUAACGUAGGGAAACUUACGCUAAUACCGCAUACGACCUACGGGUGAAAGUAGGGGAUCUUCGGACCUUGCGCGAUUGAAUGAGCCGAUGUCGGAUUAGCUAGUUGGCGGGGUAAAGGCCCACCAAGGCGACGAUCCGUAGCUGGUCUGAGAGGAUGAUCAGCCACACUGGAACUGAGACACGGUCCAGACUCCUACGGGAGGCAGCAGUGGGGAAUAUUGGACAGUGGGCGCAAGCCUGAUCCAGCCAUACCGCGUGGGUGAAGAAGGCCUUCGGGUUGUAAAGCCCUUUUGUUGGGAAAGAAAAGCAGCAGGUUAAUACCCCGCUGUUCUGACGGUACCCAAAGAAUAAGCACCGGCUAACUUCGU
Molecule: ribosomal RNA, 491 nt
Filed under: uncultured bacterium
Lineage: Bacteria
Description: partial 16S ribosomal RNA
Rfam family: Bacterial small subunit ribosomal RNA
Source: RNAcentral